AUCCUUGGGAUACCACCCUUGUAGUACUGGGACUCUAACCAUAGGCCAUGAAUCUGGUCUUGGGACACUGUCAGGUGGGCAGUUUGACUGGGGCGGUCGCCUCCCAAAAGGUAACGGAGGCGCUCAACGGUUCUCUCAGUACGGUCGGAAAUCGUACGUAGAGUGUAAAGGCAAAAGAGAGCUUGAUUGCAAGACAUACAGGUCGAGCAAGGAUGAAAAUCGGACUUAGGGAUCCGGUGGUUCUGCGUGGAAGGGCCAUCGCUCAACGGAUAAAAGCUACCCUGGGGAUAACAGGCUUAUCUCCCCCAAGAGUCCACAUCGACGGGGAGGUUUGGCACCUCGAUGUCGGCUCAUCACAUCCUGGGGCUGUAGUAGGUCCCAAGGGUUGGGCUGUUCGCCCAUUAAAGUGGUACGCG
Molecule: ribosomal RNA, 416 nt
Filed under: Clostridioides difficile
Lineage: Bacteria; Bacillati; Bacillota; Clostridia; Peptostreptococcales; Peptostreptococcaceae
Description: bacterial LSU rRNA
Rfam family: Bacterial large subunit ribosomal RNA
Source: RNAcentral